CAUGAACAAGACACACGAAUAUAAAUACUCAAAACAAUUGUAGGCAAAGUUUAUUAAAUAUUCUGAGUUGAAGUAGUAAAUAUGAUCUUGCUUUCCAUUUUUCUGGGUCUUUUGACCUGCUUUGUGACUAUAGUUCAGUCUAACGAUUCAAGAAACCCCAAUUGUUACAUGGUUUUUGAUUCUGGACCAUGCUCACGAUAUAGAAUAGUGUGGGCCUUCUCGCAAUACGAUGAUGAGUGCGUGCAGGUCCUCUACUCUGGAUGUGGAGGAAAUAGAAACCGAUUUUCCACCAAGGCUCAAUGCGAACAUUUUUGCGCGCUUCAAUGAAAAUAAAUCAGUAAAACAUAUUUAAAGUCAGUUUGGUCCAAAUAACUUUCCGAAAUAUUUAUUUACACUUAAACUCAAAAUAGUUAUACAAAAUAAUGUUUUUAAGUGAUUUAUUUUUUGUAUUUCAUUUAGAUAAAUAUCAAUUUUUGUAUAGCUUAAAUGUUCGCAAUUAAAGCGCUUUCGAUUUGACCAAGUUUUGUUGGCGUCUGGCGAUUUUUUUGGUACAACUCGUAGCCGGCGCUCAGGAAUAAAAGAUGACCAGAACAAGCAGUGGAAAGCUUUUCUCCAUUUAAAGUGCCAAACACACACUCCCACAGGGGCGGAACGUGACAUUUAUCAAGGGCUGGGCAAAUAUUCGUUGCUUGCUGGCAAUUAAAUCAGGCCAACAGCAUUUGGCAGUAGCGAAAUGAAAGCUCGCCGGAAAAGAUUGCUCGUCGGGUACCUUUUUUUUACAACUUUUCUCUGGGCUUUAUUGUGCGCCGUUAGAGGCAUAAAUCACCGAUGAGGGGGCAAAAUGUGCAAGUUUACAGGUUGACUCGUCGCUCGUACGCAAAAAGCACAUUACCAGAAUGGCAAUCGCAAUCGCAACUGCAAAGGCAAUGCCAAUGCCAAUGGCCAAUAGCGAAAUCAAAGAAUAAAGUCACGCAAUUUCAAUUACAAAUAAACGCACCGACGGAGAAAUGGCCAAUGGGGGGAUCCUGAUGCUGACUACACACAUAUCCGUGGCCAUAGCUUAAGCAAUAAUAAUAAUAAUAAUGAAAUUGUGAUAAGCUGCGCGCCACAAAUUGCACGCGAGUGAGACGGAGAGACAAUAAUUUAAACCGUUAAGCGCAAGAUGAGGCAUCAAAUGCAGCCGCCCAGAGAUGGAAACGUGACACGACUGCGGAUAGAUAUAAUCGGUUUUAAGAUAUAUUGGUUUCAAAAUAUAUUGAUUUGUUAAACUUCAUUAAAUAAUUUUUCAGUUUUUAAGUUGUUAAAAUACAAAA
Drosophila elegans is the source of this 1313-nucleotide long non-coding RNA. RefSeq lists it as uncharacterized. Lineage: Eukaryota; Metazoa; Arthropoda; Insecta; Diptera; Drosophilidae. The record is from RefSeq and is a predicted model, not a curated record. The transcript is spliced from 2 exons.